AAGUAAUUGAAGAAUAAAGUGUGUUACUUAUUAAAGGGAUGAUUAGUGCCUUUCCCCUUUAACCAGGAGCAUCAAUCUGCUGACAGGUGGAAACUUUCUUCCUGGGGAGAGGAAUCUUUCUGCUAUUGACUUGGAGCAAAGAUAGUGGAGGCAUGAAGAGACAUUACAGAAGAAGAUACAUUACAGAAAAAGACAUUUUAAGCAAAGCGAGGAAGUGGUUUUGCAGACAUUUGCACAAUGUGUUGAGCAUUAUGGAAGAAGGCCCAAAGGUAUGAUUUGAACAUUUAUCUACUAGGUCAUGGAAGCACCUGUAGUUGAUGCAGAUUUGGAUUUAACUGUGGAAAGUAGUAAACUUCAACUCUUUUGUCAGCCCCACUUGUGAGCCUUCCCUCGCGCUGAACGCUCCUGAGUUCCCAGCAUUGCUCUGCAGUUUCUAACUUAACAGCUCUCAGCACCACUGCAUCUCUUUCUAGUGGUACAAUAAAAGUACCUUUCAUUCUCAUGAAGCAGGACAGAAGAACAAACAAUGAGGAUAUCUAGUUA
This is a non-coding RNA of Coturnix japonica (Japanese quail), 543 nucleotides long. The record is from RefSeq and is a predicted model, not a curated record. Lineage: Eukaryota; Metazoa; Chordata; Aves; Galliformes; Phasianidae.